AUACGGCCAUAUUAUGUUGAAACACCGUUUCCUUCUUUCGAUCAACGAAGUUAAGCAACGUCGGGAAUGAUCAGUACCUAUAUGGGUGACCGCUUUGGAAUACCAGGUACUGUAAG
This is a non-coding RNA of Acanthosepion pharaonis, 116 nucleotides long. The record is from the annotation of a GenBank genome assembly. NCBI's taxonomy places the organism in Eukaryota, Metazoa, Mollusca, Cephalopoda, Sepiida, Sepiidae.